AGGAGCAUAUAACGGCAACCGUGCCUUACGGCUCGCUAUAUGCGCCGGUGAAUGACGAGCAUUCGAGCGAAUGGGACCAAUCAGACUGAUUGGCCGACCGGUAUUUACAUUUCUGCGGGCAAGUCUGCCUCUGCAGCCUGCCUCGAGCAUCGCCAGGAGAUUCGAGACCAGAGAACACCGAGGGCUGACUACCGGCUCCCGCGACGAGACGAACCGUGCAAACUGGAGACGAAAAGUCGUCGUCUCUCGACAACAGAGUACCUCUUGCGGGACCAUUAUUCCCUAAAACAAGCACGCUUUGACGCGACCGAUCGAUCCUUAAUUAAACGGUGUAACUUUCACGAAAGCUUGCACACAGCCUCGUUUCGACCGGUAAUUUUAGUCCGUGUUCACACGCCAGGUUCCAGGUUUCACGGUUUACGAUCGUGGCCAAAGAAGUUGCUUCCCGGGGAAAGUUGGACACGGGAAGUUUGUCCGGAGGCUCGUUGCCGGAAGUUGCCGGUAUCUCGCUAGAACGAGGCUUCAGCGAGAAAAGUUUUUCGGUAUCUUCUGGCAUAACGUUACAUAGAGACGUCUACGGUCUACGGAAUAGUUUAUGGUCGUUGAGUGACGCGACGUCGCAUAACGAAAACGAUGCAUCGGGACUAGCUAAUUAAUAACCGCGGGUAACAAGCAGCAGAUGGAACGAUGGCAGAAAGUUGGAUAGCACAGACCCUUUGGCCACGGUCGGUCUGUCGACCGACUGGUUGGGACACACACCCACGCGCUGCCCAUUAUUGCGCACGUGUGGUCCGGAUGGUCGCGUGCAUGCUAUUAGCAAAAAGGAGUGUCCCGAACACGUUACCGGUCCACACGGUAAAACAACUGUCCCCCUUCUUUGCAACGACCUUUCCGAGCGGCGGCCGUGAAAGGCGAGAAUACACUCUCGAGCACCGGUUUCCGGUUCUGACACCCAAGCUGCAUAUCUCUGUCCCUCUUUCGAAAUAGCUCCUCUUUUAUUUCGACUGGCUGUUCAUUAGGCCGCUAAUUAACGCUUAGCGUCGGACGUGUUUGCAUUCACGCCGUCCUGCUACAGAGAAAGGAUCAUCUCGUUCCCUUUCUUGCGUUAAGCAGCAGCUGAACCAUUAUGGUCAUUCGGACAUAGCCCGAGGUUCUUUGGACAGAGUUAUGGAUGACGAUACACGUGAAGCUUCUAGAUAUUUUCGUGUCGAGGCAAGACGAGAACUACUUUCUGUAUACGUCUCAGAGAGACACGUGGAGUGAUUCCUCGAUCAAGGUUCUCAUGAAGGUUCAUCGAGGACCCGAGUUAAUUAUGAGAAUCAGAGAUACUGGUCACAGAAUGGUCCGUGGAGCACGUUUCGGAGUGUUAACGCGCCGCGUAAUAAUCUCGCGUCCGGUUUUAAUAACGUCGUACGGAGUGGCCGUUUCGCGAACUCCGUGAAUAUAUUCAGGGACAAUGUUAUUCCAGCUAGCCAUGCGGCCAUAUAUCAGCAACGAUUCUAUGCGCGGUCGCGUGCGGAGUAAUUACUUUUCGGUGCGCGGAGGCAUCGCUCAAAAGGCAACAUUUGCACGCGACGUAGAACCGACGUGCAGCGAAACGCACGCACGUACGUAUACGCGCGUGCACUCGCGUACCCACACGUAGAUACGUUCGCGUGUGUUAUCCAUGUAGAGAAGGUAUAAAAAAAAGAACGAAAGAAAAAAAAGCAUGCGGCUGCUGCCACGUUUCGAGGAUCGAGGGCGACAAUGGCUUCCUGUUUCAUCCCUGCGGGGCGUCCAGCUGUCUGUCUGGACUAUGGUUGCACGAAUGAAUCGUCCUCCGACUCCAUUGUGCCCGUUUUCCAGUUUUGCGUCGGGAUUGUUGCCUGCCAUGACAUCUUCACCGACCGAUCCUUCAUCAUUUUAGCGUUCUGUUUUCCCUAGUCCUCUUCCCAUCCUUUCGAAAAGUGACGCUUUUAUUCGGCAUCGUUGACUUUGGACGCUACCGUUGAAACCGUUCCAUGGAUUUAUACUUCUGGCGGGCUGUUGUGACGAGCUGGUUCACGGAAUUUUUUGGGGAUUCUUUCGGUUCAGUUGUGAAAGCAACCAUCAACUCUCUGUCAUUUUUAUAUUACUUAUGAUUUAUUAGAAUAUUAGAGAGCAAGUAAUAGCACAGAGGUUGUUGAUUGACAUGCUGUCU
Bombus pascuorum is the source of this 2179-nucleotide long non-coding RNA. RefSeq lists it as uncharacterized. NCBI's taxonomy places the organism in Eukaryota, Metazoa, Arthropoda, Insecta, Hymenoptera, Apidae. The transcript is spliced from 3 exons. The record is from RefSeq and is a predicted model, not a curated record.